This 99-nucleotide ribosomal RNA is filed under the name uncultured bacterium. RNAcentral's name for it is "partial 16S ribosomal RNA". It matches the Rfam family "Bacterial small subunit ribosomal RNA", at positions 1384 to 1482 of the family's 1533-position model. The record is from RNAcentral.
UACACACCGCCCGUCACACCAUGAAAGCUGGUAGUACCAGACGUCGUCUAGCUAACCGUAAGGAGGCAGACGCCCAAGGUAACACUGGUGAUUGGGGUG